This is a long non-coding RNA of Eublepharis macularius, 731 nucleotides long. RefSeq lists it as uncharacterized. Lineage: Eukaryota; Metazoa; Chordata; Lepidosauria; Squamata; Eublepharidae. The record is from RefSeq and is a predicted model, not a curated record. The transcript has 3 exons.
UUUUAUCCAUUUAUUUAAUUUCAGAGUAGGAAGGGACCACCCGGGCCAUCUAGUCCAACCCUCUGCCAAUGCAAGAAUUACAGCUACAACAUCCCUGAACAAAUAGAUACCCAAUCGAAGCUUAAAAAUCUCCAAUGCUGAAGAAUCAUGUGGCAGACUGUUCCCGUGUCGAAAGCACCGUCGGGAAAUUCUCCCUCAAAUACAACGAAAGCCUCCAUUAGCGUCUAGCCUAAGCCAAGACCUGUCAUCUAACCCAGCUGAUUACGCAUCCGUUCAGUCCUCCGCCUGGCAGGCCACCCUUUGGGCACACGAGGGCGGCGCGUCGUACCUGCCGAAGGCUCCGCCCGAAACAGCUGGAAGAGCGACUGCGCUCGGCCCGUCCGGCGGCGGCGGCAGGCAGGUUUCCUGGCUGCUGAGAAUUGACCACCAAGAGGUUCUCUGUGUGAUGAACUGAAAUACUGGGAUGCAUACAUUUAAGAACACUCUUGUAGCAUCGGGGUUAUUAGAAUGCCCUACUCUUCUGCUGAUCUCAGGAGUCAUUUCACUAUAGGACAAAUGGUACACGAAGCAGUCUGCCAAUUCCAAUGUACUCUCUCCAGUUAUUUAGCCUGCCUUUCUUUCUGAAACUUGAAGUGGAUUACAGUAUCAAACGAUGGAAUCAAAUGGAUGAGUCAUCCAAUAAACAAUGGUUUACAGAAAUUCAAAAAAAGUGCAAAAUCACAAAAGCAGAA